Molecule: ribosomal RNA, 24 nt
Filed under: Nodosilinea nodulosa UTEX B 2910
Lineage: Bacteria; Bacillati; Cyanobacteriota; Cyanophyceae; Nodosilineales; Nodosilineaceae
Description: partial 23S ribosomal RNA
Source: RNAcentral
GUCGAGCUACAACGGCUGCCCCGU